GCCUCUGUGGUGUAGUGAUAGCACGCGCGCCCGGUAAGAGUGGAAUGCGGGUUUAAUUUCCGCCUGUGGUCA
Parelaphostrongylus tenuis is the source of this 72-nucleotide non-coding RNA. Lineage: Eukaryota; Metazoa; Nematoda; Chromadorea; Rhabditida; Metastrongylidae. The record is from the annotation of a GenBank genome assembly.